RNAcentral lists this ribosomal RNA (502 nucleotides) under uncultured bacterium. RNAcentral's name for it is "partial 16S ribosomal RNA". It matches the Rfam family "Bacterial small subunit ribosomal RNA", at positions 28 to 523 of the family's 1533-position model. The record is from RNAcentral.
GAUGAACGCUAGCGGCAGGCUUAAUACAUGCAAGUCGAGGGGCAGCAUGGUGUAGCAAUACACUGAUGGCGACCGGCAAACGGGUGCGGAACACGUACAGAACCUUCCUUCGAGCGGGGAAUAGCCCAGAGAAAUUUGGAUUAAUACCCCAUAGUAUAAUGAAGAGGCAUCUCUUUAUUAUUAAAGAUUUAUCACUUGAAGAUGGCUGUGCGGCUGAUUAGGUAGUUGGCGGGGUAACGGCCCACCAAGCCUGCGAUCAGUAACUGGUGUGAGAGCACGACCAGUCACACGGGCACUGAGACACGGGCCCGACUCCUACGGGAGGCAGCAGUAAGGAAUAUUGGUCAAUGGACGAAAGUCUGAACCAGCCAUGCCGCGUGGAGGAUGAAGGUCCUCUGGAUUGUAAACUUCUUUUAUAUGGGACGAAAAAAGGCUUUUCUAAGUCGUCUGACGGUACCAUAUGAAUAAGCACCGGCUAACUCCGUGCCAGCAGCCGCCGUAA